UGUGGUCCAAAAUUUUCAUCAUCCUCAAUCCCUUGUUUUACUUCUGCAUCACAUGUUUGAACCUUGUCAUGUUGAUCAGUAUAGCUAGUGGUGUUUAUUUUGGCAGUGUCAUCAUCUACACAUUGUUUUGUUUGUUCCUCUUCGUUAGGUUUUUUCUCUGUAAUGUCUUCAUCCAGCUGUAUCUGUUCUUCUUUAGUGUCAUCAACUCUUUCGGUUACGAUCGCAACUGCAAUUCCUAUUGGUUGCCGAAUUUGAUUUUCUGGAUAUUAAGAAUCAAUCAUUUACAUGAAUUCUGCUAUCUUAUUAUUUAAAUGCAUGUACAGGUUCUUUGCAAAAUAAAAAAUAGUCGCAGUGGCUCAUAUAGCUCCCAUAUUUGCCAAGGAAUUACUGUACACAUUUUAUCGUCCGGAUUUAGUAGUGAGUAAAACAGCCAUUUUCAUCUAAACACGUGUUUUUAAAUUUCUAUAUACAAUAAAUAAUAUUCUUUCACGUAAAGUACUGUUUAGUUUUAUUUUCUUUACAGUAUUGAAGUUUUUGUUUUGGUUAGUGUUUUUCAGUAAAAACCGGUUCUAAAAUUUCAAAACAUAGUUACCUUCAAUUUCUGAGUUGUCGGUCUUCAAAUCAGCAAAUGUUUUGGAAUCUGUUUCUUCCUCUGCUUUAAUUUUUGUUGCAUCGCUGGUGGCUGAAUUCUCUGUUACUUUGCUGAUAUUGUCCUUGGUCUCGGAUUUUUCAGUUUCCUAGUUGAAUUUGUGAAAUGUAUGUGUAAAAUUUCAUUCAUAAGUUACGAAAAUUAUUGAUUUUAUUUUCAAAGUAGAUGCAAUAUAUGUAAAGUUUUACUAAUUUAAACCACUAAGGCCUAACCUGAGCAAAAGUUGUAUUUCUUCCAAGUUCAAUUUCUUCUAUGCAACUUUGCUUGACAUAAUCAAUAGUUUCUGAUUCAUCAACAUGCAGUAAUUCUUGCUGUAAGAUUUUUUCAGUGUCCAUUUGAACAGAGGCAGGAGUGAGUGUUAGGACUUCUUCCUUGGGUAACUGCAUUUUGCUUGAUUCUGCUGUAGCUUGGUCUUCUAUCUGUGGUCCUAAAUUUUCAUCAUCCUCAAUCCCUUGUUUUACUUCUGCAUCAGAUGUUUGAACCUUAUCAUGUUGAUCAGUAUAGCUAGUGGUGUUUACUUUGGCAGUGUCAUCAUCUACAUAUUGUUUUGUUUGUUCCUCUUCGUUAGGUUUUUUCUCUGUAAUGUCUUCAUCCAGCUGUAUCUGUUCUUCUUUAGUGUCAUCAACUCUUUCAGUUACGAUCGCUACUGAAAUUCCUAUUGGUUGCCGAAUUUGAUUUUCUGGAUAUUAAGAAUCAAUCAUUUACAUGAAUUCUGCUAUCUUAUUAUUUAAAUGCAUGUGCAGGUUCUUUGCAAAAUAAAAAAUAGUCGCAGUGGCUCAUAUAGCUCCCAUAUUUGCCAAGGAAUUACUGUACACAUUUUAUCGACCGGAUUUAGUAGUGAGUAAAACAGGCAUUUUCAUCUCAAUACUUGUUUUUAAAUUUCUAUAUACAAUAAAUUAUAUUUCUUUCACGCAAAGUACUGUUUAGUUUUAUUUUCUUUACAGUAUUGAAGUUUUUCUUUUGGUUAGUGUUUUUGAGUAAAAACCGGUUCUAAAAUUUCAAAACAUAGUUACCUUCGAUUUCUGACUUGUCGGUCUUGAAAUCAGCCAAUGUUUUGGAAUCUGUUUCUUCCUCUGCUUUAAUUUUUGUUGCAUCGCUGGUGGCUGAAUUCUCUGUUACUUUGCUGAUAUAGCUAGUGGUGUUUAUUUCGGCAGUGUCCUCAUCUACAAAUUGUGUUGUUUGUUCCUCUUCGUUAGGUUUUUUCUCUGUAAUGUCUUCAUCCAGUUGUAUCUGUUCUUCUUUAGUGUCACCAACUCUUUCGGUUACGAUCGUUAGUGCAAUUCCUAUUGGUUGCCAAACUUGAUCUUCUGGAUAUUAAGAAUCAAUGAUUUACAUAAAUAUUGGCAUCUUAUUAUUUAAGUGCAUGUACAGGUUUUUUGCAAAAUAGAAAAUAGUCCCAGUGGCUCAUAAAGCUCCCAUAUUUGCCAAGGAAUUACUGUACACAUUUUAUCGUCUGGAUAUAGUAGUGAGUAAAACAGCCAUUUUCAUCUAAACACGUGUUUUUAAAUUUCUAUGUACAUUAAAUAAUAUUUCUUUCACGCGAAGUAGUGUUUAGUUUUAUUUUCUUUACAGUAUUGAAGUUUUACUUUUGGUUAGUGUUUUUGAGUAAAAACCGGUUCUAAAAUUUCAAAACAUAGUUACCUUCGAUUUCUGACUUGUCGGUCUUGAAAUCAGCCAAUGUUCUGGAAUCUGUUCCUUCCUCUGCUUUAAUUUUUGUUGCAUCGCUGGUGGCUGAAUUCUCUAUUACUUUGCUGAUAUUGUCCUUGGUCUCGGGUUUUUCAGUUUCCUAGUUGAAUUUAUGAAAUGUUUGUGUGAAAUUUCUUUCAUAAGUUACGAAAAUUAUUGAUUUUAUUUUCAAAGGAGAUGCAAUAUAUGUAAAGUUUUACUAAUUUAAACCACUUAGGCCUAACCUGAGCAAAAGUGGUAUUUCUUCCAAGUUCAAUUUCUUCUAUGCAACUUUGCUUGACAUAAUCAAUAGCUUCUGAUUCAUCAACAUGCAGUAAUUCUUGCUGUAAGAUUUUUUCAGUGUCCAUUUGAACAGAAGCAGGAGUGAGUGUUAGGACUUCUUCCUUGGGUAACUGCAUUUUGCUUGAUUCUGCUGUAGCUUGGUCUUCUAUCUGUGGUCCUAAAUUUUCAUCAUCCUCAAUCCCUUGUUUUACUUCUGUAUCAGAUGUUUGAACCUUGUCAUGUUGAUCAAUAUAGCUAGUGGUGUUUAUUUCGGCAGUGUCCUCAUCUACACAUUGUGUUGUUUGUUCCUCUUCGUUAGGUUUUUUCUCUGUAAUGUCUUCAUCCAGCUGUAUCUGUUCUCCUUUAGUGUCAUCAACUCUUUCGGUUAAGAUCGCUAUUGAAAUUUCUAUUGGUUGCCGAACUUGAUCUACUGGAUAUUAAGAAUCAAUUAUUUACAUAAAUUGUGCCAUCUUAUUAUUUAAGUGCAUGUACAGGUUUUUUGCAAAAUAGAAAAUAGUCCCAGUGGCUCAGAAAGCUCCCAUAUUUGCCAAGGAAUUACAGUACAUAUUUUAUCGUCUGGAUAUAGUAGUGACUAAAACAGCCAUUUUCAUCUAAACACGUGUUUUUAAAUUUCUAUAUACAUUAAAUAAUAUUUCUUUCAAGCAAAGUACUGUUUAGUUUUAAUUCUUUACAGUAAUGAAGUUUUUCUUUUGGUUAGUGCUUUCGAGUGAAAACCGGUUCUAAAAUUUCAAAACAUAGUUACCUUCGAUUUCUGACUUGUCGGUCUUGAAAUCAGCCAAUGUUCUGGAAUCUGUUCCUUCCUCUGCUUUAAUUUUUGUUGCAUCGCUGGUGGCUGAAUUCUCUGUUACUUUGCUAUUAUUGUCCUUGGUCUCGGGUUUUUCAGUUUCCUAGUUGAAUUUAUGAAAUGUUUGUGUGAAAUUUCUUUCAUAAGUUACGAAAAUUAUUGAUUUUAUUUUCAAAGGAGAUGCAAUAUAUGUAAAGUUUUACUAAUUUAAACCACUUAGGCCUAACCUGAGCAAAAGUGGUAUUUCUUCCAAGUUCAAUUUCUUCUUUGCAACUUUGCUUGACAUAAUCAAUAGUUUCUGAUUCAUCAACAUGCAGUAAUUCUUGCUGUAAGAUUUUUUCAGUGUCCAUUUGAACAGAUGCAGGAGUGAGUGUUAGGACUUCUUCCUUGGGUAACUGCAUUUUGCUUGAUUCUGCUGUAGCUUGGUCUUCUAUCUGUGGUCCUAAAUUUUCAUCAUCCUCAAUCCCUUGUUUUACUUCUGUAUCAGAUGUUUGAACCUUGUCAUGUUGAUCAGUAUAGCUAGUGGUGUUUAUUUCGGCAGUUUCCUCAUCUACACAUUGUGUUGUUUGUUUCUCUUCGUUAGGUUUUUUCUGUGUAAUGUCUUCAUCCAGCUGUAUCUCUUCGUCUUUAGUGUCGUUAACUCUUUCGGUUACGAUCCCUACUGCAUUUCCUUUUGGUUGCCGAACUUGAUCUUCUGGAUAUUAAGAAUCAAUCAUUUACAUAAAUUGUGGCAUCUUAUUAUUUAAGUGCAUGUACAGGUUCUUUUGAAAACAAAAAAUAGUCCCAGUGGCUCAUAUAGCUCCUAUAUUUGCCAAGGAAUUACUGUACACAUUUUAUCGUCCGCAUAUAGUAGUGAGUAAAACAGCCAUUUUCAUCUAAGCACGUGUUUUUAAAUUUCUAUGUACAUUAAAUAAUAUUUCUUUCACGCGAAGUAGUGUUUAGUUUUAUUUUCUUUACAGUAUUGAUGUUUUUAUUUUGGUUAGUGUUUUCGAGUGAAAACCGGUUUUAAACUUUCCAAACAUAGUUACCUUCUAUUUCUGACUUGUUGGUCUUGAAAUUAACCAAUGAUUUGGAAUCUGUUUCUUCCACUGCUUUGACUUUUGUUGCAUCGCUGGUGGCUGAAUUCUCUGUUACUUUGCUGUUAUUGUCCUUGGUCUCGGGUUUUUCAGUUUCCUAGUUGAAUUUGUGAAAUGUAUGUGUAAAAUUUCUUUCAAAAGUUAUGAAAAUUAUUGAUUAUUUUUCGAAGGAGAUGUAAUAUAUGUAAACUUUUACUAAUUUAAACCACUUAGGCCUAACCUGAGCAAAAGUGGUAUUUCUUCCAAGUUCAAUUUCUUCUUUGCAACUUUGCUUGACAUAAUCAAUACCUUCUGAUUCAUCAACAUGUAGUAAUUCUUGCUGUAAGAUUUUUUCAGUGUCUAUUUGAACACAGGCAGGAGUGAGUGAUAUUGUUAGUACUUCUUCCCUGGGUAACUGCAUUUUGCUUGAUUCUGCUGUAGCUUGG
Molecule: long non-coding RNA, 4902 nt
Filed under: Phaseolus vulgaris (common bean)
Lineage: Eukaryota; Viridiplantae; Streptophyta; Magnoliopsida; Fabales; Fabaceae
Description: long non-coding RNA (PVUL_LNC001649)
Source: RNAcentral